AGCAGCCGCGGUAAUUCCAGCUCCAAUAGCGUAUAUUAAAGUUGCUGCAGUUAAAAAGCUCGUAGUUGAAUUUCGGGACCAAUAUGUCGGUCGUGCCUCGGUACGUACUGGCAUCGUUGGUUUCUCCCUUCUGACGAACCAUGAUGUCAUUUAUUUGGUGUCGUGGGGAAUCAGGACUGUUACUUUGAAAAAAUUAGAGUGUUUAAAGCAGGCUCACGCUUGAAUACAUUAGCACGGAAUAAUGAAAUAGGACGUUUGAUUCUAUUUUGUUGGUUUCUAGGAUCGACGUAAUGAUUAAUAGGGAUAGUUGGGGGCAUUAGUAUUCAAUUGUCAGAGGUGAAAUUCUUGGAUUUAUUGAAGACUAACUACUGCGAAAGCAUUUGCCAAGGAUGUUUUCAUUAAUCAAGAACGAAAGUUAGGGGAUCGAAGACGAUCAGAUACCGUCGUAGUCUUAACCAUAAACUAUGCCGACUAGGGAUCGGAUGAUGUUAAUUUUUAAUGACUCAUUCGGCGCCUUAAC
RNAcentral lists this ribosomal RNA (520 nucleotides) under uncultured Glomus. Its description in RNAcentral is "SSU rRNA". It matches the Rfam family "Eukaryotic small subunit ribosomal RNA", at positions 569 to 1092 of the family's 1831-position model. Lineage: Eukaryota; Fungi; Glomeromycota; Glomeromycetes; Glomerales; Glomeraceae. The record is from RNAcentral.